This is a long non-coding RNA of Macrosteles quadrilineatus (aster leafhopper), 267 nucleotides long. RefSeq lists it as uncharacterized. Lineage: Eukaryota; Metazoa; Arthropoda; Insecta; Hemiptera; Cicadellidae. The record is from RefSeq and is a predicted model, not a curated record. The transcript is spliced from 3 exons.
CGAAAGAUUAUUUUAUCAAAACCAUGGAUUCAGAUCAAAUCUUUAUGUUUUCUGAUAGGGGAUGAUGGAACGAUCUAUGAGGGAAGGGGUUGGAAUUUUCGUCCUCACCAUCUAGACCAGUUUCCAUCCAUGGAUGGGCAAAUGCUGGACUUCGCUUGCAUCGGCAAUUUCAGAAAGGAACUUCGCCCAGACGCCAUGUACGAUGCUCAAUGGAAGCUCCUCAACCUAGGAAUUGAGUUGAAAUAUCUAGCAAAACAUGCCCAUUAU